AGGAAGUAUGUAGGUGGAUCAAUAUCUAAUUCUUUGUCACCAAUCCCACAUCCGUUGACCAUGGAAGUUGGUCAGUAUCGUGCAUCGUAUCUGAUCCAAUCACCUGCAAAGUCCAACUGAGACGCACCAACGAACCCAAAUCUGAGAUCCAGCCACACAAGCUUGCUUUCAUCUGGGUGGUUCUAAUUCACCUUUGCCUACCGAUUGUCUGCUAAUGGCGAAGAAAAGGCAAAGACAGCUGGUGGAAAAUCCCCCGCACAAGAAAAGUACUCCGAGUAGUGGUCUUAUUGACGCUUCAAACUCAGACAACGAUCUGGAUCUGCAGGAUAGUUGGGUGAUUGUCAAAAAGCAGAGAGUUAACAUUUUAGUACCUGGACUUCCUGUUGCUAAUAAAUCACCACUCCCAAGCCCAGAACCAAGUCAGCUGCAACUCGUGGCUAGAGAAACAGUAGAAAGUGGACCACAGCUUCCUGCCGAUACACAUCCCAAAACGACUUUGGUUCAUGAGAAAAAGAAGAUUAAACCUGUUGCCCCUAAAAGGGCUGUGCAACUUGCUAAGAAAGCUUCUCCUGCUGCUGCUGAAUACGUUCCAACCGUUUCCCAGUCAAUGAGGAGGCGAGAAUUAAGCACAAAAUCACAAACCCCAGAUCAGAUGGCUACUUCACAGUAUCAGAGAGCUCUAGGAGUAUCUAUGACCUCGAAAGCCAUCAUGCAGCGAAGAAGAUUACAACAUGUUUUCCUGGAUCAGGGAAUGUUGCUGAAUGAAAGGCUGAGAGCUCGGAAUAUUGAGAGGAAGAUUCAGAAUGCUGGUGGGUUAAGCAGGUGGUUAGCAUCAUUGGGACUGGAGCAGUUUGUUAGAAUUUUUCAGAGGAAAGGUUUCAGUAAAUUUCAGUUGGUGAAUUUGAACAUGAAAAAGCUCAAAGAUAUGGGUGCAAAUGCAGUUGGGCCAAGAAGGAAAUUGAUGCAUGCAAUAGACUGCUUUUGCCAACCAUCCUAUUAUUAAGCAUUCGAAAUUCAUUCACCUGAAUAUACAAGCUGAUCAGACAAGCACAGGAGAAAAAUCCCCUUCAAGCUGUUGGUCCAAGUUGUGUACAGUUUUUGGAUUUGUGUAUUUUUAUCAAAAGAAAAUGUCAACAAUGUGCACCGGCCAGCAGUUUCUACUUUGUAAAAUUUCUUGGAUCAAACGGUUGAAUAUCAAAGGUACAGGCCUCUACAGAGCAGAAUGGCAAAAGAGGUUCAGAUUGUCUGGUGAUGGCGAAGAAAAGGCAAAGACAUCUGGUGGCAAAUCCCCUGCACAGGAAAAAUACCCUGAGUGGUGUUAUUGACACUACAAACUCGACAACGAUCUGGAUCUGCAAGAUUGUUGGGUGAUAGCCAAAAAGCAGAGAGUCAACAGUUUGGUGCGUCUACUGCCUAUUGCUAAUACAUCACCACUCCCAAGCCCAGAACCAAGUCAGCUGCAACUCGUGGCCAGAGAAACAAUAAAAAGUGGAUCACAACUUCCUACCAACACACAUCCCAAAAUGGCUUCAGUUCAUGAAAAAAGGAAGAUUAAACCUGUUGCCCCUAAAGUUGUCGGACUUGCUUGAACUAGAAGAGCUUCUCCUGCUGCUGAAUAUAUUCCGACUUUUUCCCAGUCAAUGAGCUGCAACUUGAGAACUAAAUCACUAAACCCACAUCAGAUGGCUACUUCACGUAUCAGAGAACAUGAGGAUUGUCUAUAACCUCAAAAUCCAUCAUGCAGCAAACAGGAUUACAACAUGAUUUCCUUGAUCAGUGAAAAAUGCUGAAUUAAAGUCUGAGAGCUCGGAAUCUUGAGAGGAUGCUUCAGAAAUCUGGUCGAUUAAGCAGGUGGUUGGCAUCUCUGGGACUGGAACAUACAGCUUGUCAGGGUUUUUCAGAGGAAAGCUUGCAGAAAGUUUCAGACGUGAAAAAGCUCAAGGAUAUGGGUGCAAAUGCGUUUGGGCCAAGAAGGAAAUUGAUUCAUGCAAUAUAGUUCUUUUGCCAGCCAUUCUAUUAUUAAGGCAUUCCAAAUUCAUAAACCCAAAUAUAGAUGCUGAUCAGAGACAAACGCAAGAAAAAAAAAAAAAAAUCCCAUUCUGCUAUUGGUCCAAGUUGGAUGUGUACAGUUUGUGGAUUGGUGCAUUUUAGGAUAGAAAAUGUUAACCAUGUGGCAUUGGCUAGCAGUUUCUACUUUGUGAAGUUCUUGGAUCAAAUGGUAGAAUAUGAAUGGUGCAGACCUCUACAUAGAAGAAUGUCAAAAGUGGUUCAGGUACUUGAUUUUUAUUUUUAUGGAUAAGCCUCUAUCUACAGUGAACAAGUAUUGAGAAUGCUACCUGAAGUGGGGUUUAUGAAAACUUGGGUAGUGCCAUUUAAGUCAUAAAAUUUUAUAAAUUUAAAAUAGAAGCAUUGUGUGCAAAGAGUAGCUUAAGUGAAGUAAUUUCUUUUCUUGUACCUUCAUUUUUCUAAAUUUACUGUUACCAUCUGUUUAAAAAAAAAAUUAAUAAUUUAUUUCAAAC
This is an RNA transcript of Rosa rugosa (rugosa rose), 2519 nucleotides long. RefSeq lists it as uncharacterized. The transcript has 3 exons. Lineage: Eukaryota; Viridiplantae; Streptophyta; Magnoliopsida; Rosales; Rosaceae. The record is from RefSeq and is a predicted model, not a curated record.